UACGUAGGGGGCAAGCGUUAUCCGGAUUUACUGGGUGUAAAGGGAGCGUAGACGGCCAGACAAGUCUGAAGUGAAAAUCCAGCGCUUAACGCUGGAAGUGCUUUGGAAACUGCCGGGCUGGAGUGCAGGAGGGGCAGGCGGAAUUUCUAGUGUAGCGGUGAAAUGCGUAGAUAUUAGGAGGAACACCAGUGGCGAAGGCGGCCUGCUGGACUGCAACUGACGUUGAGGCUCGAAGGCGUGGGGAGCAAACAGG
RNAcentral lists this ribosomal RNA (253 nucleotides) under uncultured bacterium. RNAcentral describes it as "partial 16S ribosomal RNA". It matches the Rfam family "Bacterial small subunit ribosomal RNA", at positions 524 to 776 of the family's 1533-position model. The record is from RNAcentral.